Poecilia latipinna (sailfin molly) is the source of this 863-nucleotide long non-coding RNA. RefSeq lists it as uncharacterized. The transcript has 3 exons. The record is from RefSeq and is a predicted model, not a curated record. NCBI's taxonomy places the organism in Eukaryota, Metazoa, Chordata, Actinopteri, Cyprinodontiformes, Poeciliidae.
AGAAGAAAUCCUCUCCAGAAUGUUUCUAUAAGCUGACUAAUUUCUAUAAUGCCUAAUGUCUGAGUUGUGUUCAUGGUAAUUAUUUCUGACAUUUUUAUGCUUUAUGUUGUAGGUGGUGAAAAAUGCUCUCCAGGGUAAACCGGGUGGACAAAGUAUUUUGGCUGGGAAAACCAGGCAUUCUUCCGUUGGUUCAUGUGCUUCGUCCUACAUCUAAAGGCCACAAGAAGAAUCCAAAACAGCUCAUGUCAAACUGUGGACCAUGUUUUCAGAUAUGUGCAGAUGCAAGCCAGUGUUGAAGCCUUCCUCAUUGCCGUGCAACCAGGACAGCCCUUCCUCCUGCAUGUUGGUGAAAACAAGAGCAGCACCAAAGACACUUCACCCCAUCAGUGAUCCCAAGGUCAUCCAAGGUAGCUUUUGAUGAACUUCCAAAGCACACUUCACCUUCAGUGCAAAGUACCAUGAAUUCCUCUACAACUUCUGUAAAUUAAUCCAGCCUACAGUUUUCAACAUUGAUGUGACUUGCACGACAAUUGAGGAGUUUAAGAUCCUUGCUUUUACUUUACCUGGCAGAGUGGACACUCUUUAUUAUGAUGAUCAUUUAAAUGCAUACUGUAUCAAUAAGAGGAUUUGUUUUGUGUUCUUCCAAUUAAGGACUUGGUUUAUUACAAUCCCUGUGGCAAGCAGUUUUCUGCAUGGUCAGCAUUGAAGGUCAUAUUGUCUUUGAGAGGGUCCAGCCAACCAUUCCAGACAGGACAGUGUUGUCCAUCUUCUACAUUUUCAACCUCCAAUGAGGCAGCCAAGAUUUUGGUUCAUUCAACGGUAAAACCAUUCCUAUAAUUUUUUUUUACAAUGACAUGGUUUUA